GGCUCUCACCAUGAAUCCUUCGGUUAGAGAUUGGCUAAAAAGAAUUAUCUGAUCCUCUUUCCUUGGAUCGGAGAUGGCCUAAGGAGUCUUCCAAUCACCAUUUGUCACCGUAAGUUCCUUGAAGAGCUUACUCUUUCUGGUUGCACAAAGUUUGAUGUGUUUCCAAGCAUUGAAGAAAAUAUGGAAGGAUUACAAAUCCUUCAUUUGGAUGGGACAUCUAUCAAAGAGCUUUUCCCCCUCGAUUGAACGGCUUCAGGGGCUUGAGGUAUUAGAUCUGGGAAAUUGCAAAAGCCUUGUACAUCUUCCCGACACUCUUUAGAAAAUGGGCAUACUGACAUUUUGACACGUGUACUACACUC
Molecule: non-coding RNA, 359 nt
Organism: Malus domestica (apple)
Lineage: Eukaryota; Viridiplantae; Streptophyta; Magnoliopsida; Rosales; Rosaceae
Source: RefSeq, a predicted model, not a curated record